GACGAACGCUGGCGGCGUGCUUAACACAUGCAAGUCGAACGGAAAGGCCCUGCGUUUGUGGGGUGCUCGAGUGGCGAACGGGUGAGUAACACGUGAGUAACCUGCCCUAGACUUUGGGAUAACUUCAGGAAACUGGGGCUAAUACCGUAUAGGAGCCCCUGCUGCAUUGUGGGGGUUGGAAAGUUUCGGCGGGUGGGGAUGGACGCGCGGCUUAUGAGCUUGUUGGUGGGGGAGUGGCUUACCAAGGGUUUGAAGGGUACCCGGCACGAGAGGGUGGCCGGCGACAUGGGGCCUACGAGACGGACCAGACUCCUACGGGGGGCAGCAGGGGGGAAUCUUGCCCAAUGGGAGGAAGUCUGUGGAAGAAACGUCGCGUGUGGGAUGACGGCCUUUGGGUUGUAAAAAGCUUUAGCCUGUGACGAAGCGUGAGUGACGGUAAUGGGUAAAGAAGCACCGGCUAACUACGUG
RNAcentral lists this ribosomal RNA (468 nucleotides) under uncultured bacterium. RNAcentral describes it as "partial 16S ribosomal RNA". It matches the Rfam family "Bacterial small subunit ribosomal RNA", at positions 28 to 507 of the family's 1533-position model. The record is from RNAcentral.